UGUGGCCCUGUAGCCUAAAAGGAAGGGCUUCUUCCGAUCUGAUUCAGAAUUGAGAAGGUUGGUGCAAAGGCUUGGAGCUCAGAUCCGAUCACGCCCGUAGAAGAAUCUUCCCAAAAGGGCUCACGUCGGUCUUUGGAGAGGCUUCAGGAGGAAUGCAGGAGGUGGACACUUUUAAGUCAUUUUGGAGAAACAUUCAACGGGAAUGCCUGUAUAACCGGUCCCAGUAAUUGUUCAAACUCUAGUCUCUAGUGACUGGGUAAAUAUUUGGUGUAAUUUAUUAUUUGGAUAAAUAUUUAUAUUUGAAAUUGAUGAUUUCAACAUUGUUACUAAAUAUUAUUUUAAUUAAUGUUAAUAUUGUAAUUGCAUA
This is a long non-coding RNA of Zingiber officinale, 367 nucleotides long. RefSeq lists it as uncharacterized. The transcript is spliced from 2 exons. Lineage: Eukaryota; Viridiplantae; Streptophyta; Magnoliopsida; Zingiberales; Zingiberaceae. The record is from RefSeq and is a predicted model, not a curated record.